UGGGGGAAUAUUGCACAAUGGGCGGAAGCCUGAUGCAGCAACGCCGCGUGAGUGAUGAAGGCCUUCGGGUUGUAAAGCUCUGUCUUUUGGGACGAUAAUGACGGUACCAAAGGAGGAAGCCACGGCUAACUACGUGCCAGCAGCCGCGGUAAUACGUAGGUGGCAAGCGUUGUCCGGAUUUACUGGGCGUAAAGGAUGCGUAGGCGGAUUUUUAAGUGAGAUGUGAAAUACCCGGGCUUAACUUGGGUGCUGCAUUUCAAACUGGGAAUCUAGAGUGCGGGAGAGGAGAAUGGAAUUCCGUAGUGUAGCGGUGAAAUGCGUAGAGAUUAGGAAGAACACCAGUGGCGAAGGCGAUUCUCUGGACCGUAACUGACGCUGAGGCAUGAAAGCGUGGGUAGCAAA
This 402-nucleotide ribosomal RNA is filed under the name uncultured bacterium. RNAcentral's name for it is "partial 16S ribosomal RNA". It matches the Rfam family "Bacterial small subunit ribosomal RNA", at positions 354 to 772 of the family's 1533-position model. The record is from RNAcentral.